UAAUAUAUUAAUAUUUUUUUAAGUUAUGCUAAAUAUUAUAAUCCAAUAGUUAUUAUCAGUCACAUUAAUAUCAUAGUUAACAUCUGUCUGGGUUGUUUAUUAAAUCAAAUAAUAGACUUUGUUUUACAUAGAAAGUUAAUAAUGUGACGAGAAACAAAUUUUAAUUUUGUUUUCUGUAAUAAAAAUGGAAUCACGUAUCAUACGUAAUUGUUAUUAUAUUUUAUAAAACAGGAUUUGUGUAGAUAACAUUAUUGUGUAUAAAAUUUGCAUCGUAACUUAAGCUAAAUUUCUAGUUUUAACUUUCUUUAUGCAUUUCCCAUAUAUUGGGCGAUACGCGUUACUCGCAAUAUCGAAAAGAGAGAGUCGUCGCAUUAUCGAUUAUUUGUGUAGGCAAUCGAUAUGUAAUAACUGGCGCGUAUCCAGUUUAUCGCACGAUACCAAAGCACGAUACCAGUAUCGAAUCUUUUUACACUAUCGUGCUGCACGGAAAAGAUGACUGGCAGCAAGAAUGCUGCAAAAUGAUUCGACGUACCUACCGCGCGGUGUGGCGUUACUUUCGAUGCGUGAAGUUAACCGCGCAACGCGGCGUCACUUUUGACGCGUGAAGUUGACCCGCGAGAGUGACGAAGCCGUUCCACUCCACCUUUUUGCGUGUCGCUGUAGAACGUAACGGAUGCAAGGUGGAUCAGCACCGGAACAAGCAGAAUCGCGAAUCUCUUAAUUGAUCGCGGCAAGCAGCGGAAAGUCUGACAUGGAUCGGUGCCGGAGAAAUGUCGCGCCAUAUCUACUCGAUCGUGACAAUCCUGACAUGGAACGGUUCCAAAAGAUAUCGCGAUAUUCAUUUGGUAAGUAGCAUUUACAUUACAGUAUUUGAUUAGCCAAUAAUAUACGGCAAAUGCAUUCCGCUUUUAACAUUACAUUUCAUGUAUAUUGAACAAUAAAUAAUAGACUUGUCGUUUAUCUUUAAUAAUUAUUAUUUCAUAUCGUAAUAUUUGAGUUAAUUAGCUGAAUUAUUUGAAACAAUGUAAUAUAUAUAUAUUCUAUUAAAUGAGUGACUUUUGAAAUAUAUUUAAUU
This is a long non-coding RNA of Monomorium pharaonis (pharaoh ant), 1075 nucleotides long. RefSeq lists it as uncharacterized. The record is from RefSeq and is a predicted model, not a curated record. The transcript has 3 exons. Lineage: Eukaryota; Metazoa; Arthropoda; Insecta; Hymenoptera; Formicidae.